Pteropus alecto (black flying fox) is the source of this 749-nucleotide long non-coding RNA. RefSeq lists it as uncharacterized. NCBI's taxonomy places the organism in Eukaryota, Metazoa, Chordata, Mammalia, Chiroptera, Pteropodidae. The record is from RefSeq and is a predicted model, not a curated record. The transcript is spliced from 4 exons.
CAAGCCCUUGAAUGGGGAGAUUACUGCCACGGCCUCAUCUUCCUCAGAUCCACCCCCCACUCUGCCAAUGUACUGUUGAGACAUCUGUAAUGGGAGUUUCUUGCAUCCCCAACUAGGCGGUGACUCUGCCACUGUCGUAAGGAAGCCUGGAAGAGUGAAGAAAGGCCUGAUUGAUCACAAGGUCCUAUCAAAUGUCAAAGCUGGCCCUGGCUGACCUCCCAUCUAUUCAGAGCUGCUUUGAUUUAAUCUCUAAACUGGCUGCAUCUCCAGGCUUUUCUUUCACAGAAGAAGAUUGAACGCUUAAGUAAGGCAAAGGUGAUAAAAGCAUCUUCACGGAACCCUUACCUAAUAAGAAUUGGCAAAGAAUAAGAUGAUCUGGGUUGAAGAUUUGGCUUUGAGACUCACUACCUAAUGACCAGGGGUCACUGAAGAAUGGGAGCUGGUCACCAGAGGAGCAACUGUGAUUAGAGGGUUGAACUUUCAGGGAAGAGGAGCUAAAGAUUGAAUUCAGUAACCAUUGGUCAAUGAUUUAAUCAAUUAUACCUGUAUAAUGAAGCCUCCUAAAAACCCAAAAGGAGAGAGUUCAGAGAGCUUCUGGGUUGGUGAACAUGCGGAGAUUCCAAGAGAUUGAACCAUUUGGAGAAGGAAUGAAAGCUUUACACUAUUUCCCAAUCUUCCCCACCUUGUCCUAUGCAUCUCUUCCGUCUUCCUGAGGUAUAUCCUGCUAUAAUAAACCAGUAAUCUAGUAA